AUACGGAGGAUCCGAGCGUUAUCCGGAUUUAUUGGGUUUAAAGGGUGCGCAGGCGGCCAUUUAAGUCAGCGGUUAAAUCGUGGGGCUCAACCCCAUUCUGCCGUUGAUACUGGGUGGCUUGAUUGCGGUCGAGGUUGGCGGAAUUCGUUGUGUAGCGGUGAAAUGCAUAGAUAUGACGAAGAACACCGAUUGCGUAGGCAGCUGACCAGACCGUAAAUGACGCUCAUGCACGAAAGUGCGGGGAUCGAACAGGAUUAGAUACCCUGGUAGUCCGCACAGUAAACGAUGAAUACUUGUUUUCGGCGAUAUAAUGUCGGAGGCAAAGCGAAAGCGAUAAGUAUUCCACCUGGGGAGUACGCCGGCAACGGUGAAACUCAAAGGAAUUGACGGGG
This 392-nucleotide ribosomal RNA is filed under the name uncultured bacterium. RNAcentral describes it as "partial 16S ribosomal RNA". It matches the Rfam family "Bacterial small subunit ribosomal RNA", at positions 523 to 918 of the family's 1533-position model. The record is from RNAcentral.